UCCCUUAGUAACUGCGAGUGAAGAGGGAAGAGCUCAAAUUUAAAAUCUGGCAGUUUUUUGCUGUCCGAGUUGUAAUCUAGAGAAGUGCUGCCCGUGCUGGACCAUGUACAAGUCUCCUGGAAUGGAGCGUCACAGAGGGUGAGAAUCCCGUCUUUGACAUGGACUGCCAGUGCAUUGUGGUGUGCUCUCAAAGAGUCGAGUUGUUUGGGAAUGCAGCUCUAAAUGGGUGGUAAACUCCAUCUAAAGCUAAAUAUUGGCGAGAGACCGAUAGCGAACAAGUACCGUGAGGGAAAGAUGAAAAGAACUUUGGAAAGAGAGUUAAACAGUAUGUGAAAUUGUUGAAAGGGAAACGCUUAAAGUCAGUCGUGUCGGCCAGGGAUCAACUCAGUUUAUUCUGCUGGGUGUAUUUCCUGAUCUGAUGGGCCAACAUCAGUUUUGACUGCUGGAGAAGGAUAGGGGGAAUGUGGCACCUUCGGGUGUGUUAUAGCUCUCUGUCAUAUGCAGUGGUUGGGACUGAGGAAAGCAGCAUGCCGCAAGGCCAGGUUUCGACCAUGUUCAUGCUGAGGAUGUUGGCAUAAUGGCUUUAAUCGACCCGUCUUGAAACACGGACCAAGGAGUCUAACAUGCCUGCGAGUGUUUGGGUGGCAAACCCGAGUGCGGAAUGAAAGUG
RNAcentral lists this ribosomal RNA (670 nucleotides) under Amanita sp. RNAcentral describes it as "LSU rRNA". It matches the Rfam family "Eukaryotic large subunit ribosomal RNA", at positions 76 to 727 of the family's 3401-position model. Lineage: Eukaryota; Fungi; Basidiomycota; Agaricomycetes; Agaricales; Amanitaceae. The record is from RNAcentral.